This 435-nucleotide ribosomal RNA is filed under the name uncultured bacterium. Its description in RNAcentral is "partial 16S ribosomal RNA". It matches the Rfam family "Bacterial small subunit ribosomal RNA", at positions 29 to 507 of the family's 1533-position model. The record is from RNAcentral.
AACGAACGCUGGCGGCAGGCUUAACACAUGCAAGUCGAACGCAUGCCUUCGGGCAUGAGUGGCAGACGGGUGAGUAACGCGUGGGAACCUACCCCUUGGUACGGGAUAGCUCCGUGGAACUGGAGAUAAUACCGUAUGUUUCCUGAGGGACAAAGAUUCAUCGCCAAGGGAUGGGCCCGCGUCGGAUUAGCUAGGUGGGUGGGUAAGGGGCUACCAAGGUGACGAGCCGUAGCUGGUCUAAGAGGAUGAUCAGCCACAUUGGGGCUGAGACACGGCCCAAACUCCUACGGAAGGGAGCAGAGGGGAAUAUUGGACAAUGGGGGCGAGCCUGACCCAGCCAGGCCGGGUAAGUGAUGAAGGCCCUAGGGUUGUAAAGCUCUUUCACCCGUGACGAUAAUGACGGUAACCGGAGAAGAAGCCCCGGCUAACUUCGUG